This 468-nucleotide ribosomal RNA is filed under the name uncultured bacterium. RNAcentral describes it as "partial 16S ribosomal RNA". It matches the Rfam family "Bacterial small subunit ribosomal RNA", at positions 28 to 507 of the family's 1533-position model. The record is from RNAcentral.
GACGAACGCUGGCGGCGUGCUUAACACAUGCAAGUCGAACGGAAAGGCCCUGCUUUUGUUGGGUGCUCGAGUGGCGAACGGGUGAGUAACACGUGAGUAACCUGCCCUUGACUUUGGGAUAACUUCAGGAAACUGGGGCUAAUACCGGAUAGGAGCUCCUGCUGCAUGGUGGGGGUUGGAAAGUUUCGGCGGUUGGGGAUGGACUCGCGGCUUAUCAGCUUGUUGGUGGGGUGGUGGCUUACCAAGGCUUUGCCGGGUAGCCGGCCUGAGAGGGUGACCGGCCACAUUGGGACUGAGAUACGGCCCAGACUCCUACGGGAGGCAGCAGUGGGGAAUAUUGCACAAUGGGCGGAAGCCUGAUGCAGCAACGCCGCGUGCGGGAUGACGGCCUUCGGGUUGUAAACCUCUUUCGCCUGUGACGAAGCGUGAGUGACGGUAAUGGGUAAAGAAGCACCGGCUAACUACGUG